RNAcentral lists this transfer RNA (59 nucleotides) under unidentified. RNAcentral describes it as "Spelaeomysis bottazzii tRNA-His". The record is from RNAcentral.
AUUUAAAUAGUUUAAUAAAAAUAAUAGAAUGUGACUCUAUAGAUGUUCUACUUUAAAUU